CCUACGGGAGGCAGCAGUGGGGAAUAUUGCACAAUGGGGGAAACCCUGAUGCAGCGACGCCGCGUGGAGGAAGAAGGUCUUUCGGAUUGUAAACUCCUGUUGUUGGGGAAGAUAAUGACGGUACCCAACAAGGAAGUGACGGCUAACUACGUGCCAGCAG
This 160-nucleotide ribosomal RNA is filed under the name uncultured bacterium. Its description in RNAcentral is "partial 16S ribosomal RNA". It matches the Rfam family "Bacterial small subunit ribosomal RNA", at positions 338 to 514 of the family's 1533-position model. The record is from RNAcentral.